RNAcentral lists this ribosomal RNA (441 nucleotides) under uncultured bacterium. Its description in RNAcentral is "partial 16S ribosomal RNA". It matches the Rfam family "Bacterial small subunit ribosomal RNA", at positions 338 to 795 of the family's 1533-position model. The record is from RNAcentral.
CCUACGGGUGGCAGCAGUGGGGGAUAUUGCACAAUGGGGGAAACCCUGAUGCAGCGACGCCGCGUGGGUGAAGAAGUAUUUCGGUAUGUAAAGCCCUAUCAGCAGGGAAGAAAGAAGACGGUACCUGACUAAGAAGCCCCGGCUAACUACGUGCCAGCAGCCGCGGUAAUACGUAGGGGGCGAGCGUUAUCCGGAUGCACUGGGUGUAAAGGGAGCGUAGACGGCCGUGCAAGCCAGGAGUGAAAGCCCGGGGCCCAACCCCGGGACUGCUCUUGGAACUGUGCGGCUGGAGUGCGGGAGGGGCAGGCGGAAUUCCUGGUGUAGCGGUGAAAUGCGUAGAUAUCAGGAGGAACACCGGCGGCGAAGGCGGCCUGCUGGACCGCGACUGACGUUGAGGCUCGAAAGCGUGGGGAGCGAACAGGAUUAGAUACCCGAGUAGUC